GACGAACGCUGGCGGCGUGCUUAACACAUGCAAGUCGAACGGAAAGGCCCUGCUUUUGUGGGGUGCUCGAGUGGCGAACGGGUGAGUAACACGUGAGUAACCUGCCCUUGACUUUGGGAUAACUUCAGGAAACUGGGGCUAAUACCGGAUAGGAGCUCCUGCUGCAUGGUGGGGGUUGGAAAGUUUCGGCGGUUGGGGAUGGACUCGCGGCUUAUCAGCUUGUUGGUGGGGUAGUGGCUUACCAAGGCUUUGACGGGUAGCCGGCCUGAGAGGGUGACCGGCCACAUUGGGACUGAGAUACGGCCCAGACUCCUACGGGAGGCAGAAGUGGGGAAUAUUGCACAAUGGGCGGAAGACUGAUGCAGCAACGCCGCGUGCGGGAUGACGGACUUCGGGUUGUAAACCGCUUUCGCCUGUGACGAAGCGUGAGUGACGGUAAUGGGUAAAGAAGCACCGGCUAACUACGUG
RNAcentral lists this ribosomal RNA (468 nucleotides) under uncultured bacterium. RNAcentral's name for it is "partial 16S ribosomal RNA". It matches the Rfam family "Bacterial small subunit ribosomal RNA", at positions 28 to 507 of the family's 1533-position model. The record is from RNAcentral.